RNAcentral lists this ribosomal RNA (1444 nucleotides) under metagenome. Its description in RNAcentral is "bacterial SSU rRNA". It matches the Rfam family "Bacterial small subunit ribosomal RNA". The record is from RNAcentral.
AGAGUUUGAUCCUGGCUCAGGAUGAACGCUGGCGGCGUGCUUAACACAUGCAAGUCGAACGCACCUUCGGGUGAGUGGCGGACGGGUGAGUAACGCGUGAGAAUCUGCCCUCAGGAGGGGGAUAACGGCUGGAAACGGCCGCUAAUACCCCAUAUGCCGAGAGGUGAAACGAGUUUUCGCCUGAGGAUGAGCUCGCGUCUGAUUAGCUAGUUGGUGGGGUAAGAGCCUACCAAGGCAUCGAUCAGUAGCUGGUCUGAGAGGAUGAUCAGCCACACUGGGACUGAGACACGGCCCAGACUCCUACGGGAGGCAGCAGUGGGGAGUUUUCCGCAAUGGGCGAAAGCCUGACGGAGCAACGCCGCGUGAGGGAUGAAGGCCUCUGGGCUGUAAACCUCUUUUCUCAAGGAAGAAGAUCUGACGGUACUUGAGGAAUAAGCCACGGCUAAUUCCGUGCCAGCAGCCGCGGUAAUACGGGAGUGGCAAGCGUUAUCCGGAAUUAUUGGGCGUAAAGCGUCCGCAGGCGGUCUUGAAAGUCUGUUGUUAAAGCGUGGAGCUUAACUCCAUUUCAGCAAUGGAAACUAGAAGACUAGAGUGUGGUAGGGGCAGAGGGAAUUCCCGGUGUAGCGGUGAAAUGCGUAGAUAUCGGGAAGAACACCAGUGGCGAAGGCGCUCUGCUGGGCCAUAACUGACGCUCAUGGACGAAAGCCAGGGGAGCGAAAGGGAUUAGAUACCCCUGUAGUCCUGGCCGUAAACGAUGAACACUAGGUGUCGGGGGAAUCGACCCCCUCGGUGUCGUAGCCAACGCGUUAAGUGUUCCGCCUGGGGAGUACGCACGCAAGUGUGAAACUCAAAGGAAUUGACGGGGGCCCGCACAAGCGGUGGAGUAUGUGGUUUAAUUCGAUGCAACGCAAAGAACCUUACCAGGGUUUGACAUCCUGCGAACCCCUUGGAAACGAGGGGGUGCCUUCGGGAGCGCAGAGACAGGUGGUGCAUGGCUGUCGUCAGCUCGUGUCGUGAGAUGUUGGGUUAAGUCCCGCAACGAGCGCAACCCACGUCUUUAGUUGCCAGCAUUCAGUUGGGCACUCUAGAGAGACCGCCGGUGAUAAACCGGAGGAAGGUGUGGAUGACGUCAAGUCAUCAUGCCCCUUACAUCCUGGGCUACACACGUACUACAAUGCUACGGACAAAGGGCAGCAAACUCGCGAGAGCUAGCAAAUCCCAUAAACCGUGGCUCAGUUCAGAUCGUAGGCUGCAACUCGCCUACGUGAAGGAGGAAUCGCUAGUAAUCGCAGGUCUGCAUACUGCGGUGAAUACGUUCCCGGGCCUUGUACACACCGCCCGUCACACCAUGGAAGUUGGCCACGCCCGAAGUCGUUACUCCAACCCUUGUGGAGGAGGACGCCGAAGGUGGGGCUGAUGACUGGGGUGAAGUCGUAACAAGGUA